RNAcentral lists this transfer RNA (72 nucleotides) under Camelus bactrianus (Bactrian camel). It matches the Rfam family "tRNA". Rfam says of the family: Transfer RNA (tRNA) molecules are approximately 80 nucleotides in length. Their secondary structure includes four short double-helical elements and three loops (D, anti-codon, and T loops). Lineage: Eukaryota; Metazoa; Chordata; Mammalia; Artiodactyla; Camelidae. The record is from Rfam by way of RNAcentral. RNAcentral also lists the same sequence under 2 other names.
GAGGGUAGAGCUCAGUGGUAGGGCAUGUGCUUAGCAUGCGUGAGAUCCCGGGUUCAAUCCCCAGUUCCUCUA